This 391-nucleotide ribosomal RNA is filed under the name Listeria monocytogenes. RNAcentral describes it as "bacterial SSU rRNA". It matches the Rfam family "Bacterial small subunit ribosomal RNA", at positions 202 to 580 of the family's 1533-position model. The record is from RNAcentral. Lineage: Bacteria; Bacillati; Bacillota; Bacilli; Caryophanales; Listeriaceae.
GAAAGAUGGUUUCGGCUAUCGCUUACAGAUGGGCCCGCGGUGCAUUAGCUAGUUGGUAGGGUAAUGGCCUACCAAGGCAACGAUGCAUAGCCGACCUGAGAGGGUGAUCGGCCACACUGGGACUGAGACACGGCCCAGACUCCUACGGGAGGCAGCAGUAGGGAAUCUUCCGCAAUGGACGAAAGUCUGACGGAGCAACGCCGCGUGUAUGAAGAAGGUUUUCGGAUCGUAAAGUACUGUUGUUAGAGAAGAACAAGGAUAAGAGUAACUGCUUGUCCCUUGACGGUAUCUAACCAGAAAGCCACGGCUAACUACGUGCCAGCAGCCGCGGUAAUACGUAGGUGGCAAGCGUUGUCCGGAUUUAUUGGGCGUAAAGCGCGCGCAGGCGGUC